RNAcentral lists this ribosomal RNA (661 nucleotides) under uncultured rumen bacterium. RNAcentral describes it as "bacterial SSU rRNA". It matches the Rfam family "Bacterial small subunit ribosomal RNA", at positions 714 to 1383 of the family's 1533-position model. The record is from RNAcentral.
GUUGAGGAGGUCGGGCAAGAGUCGAACUGCGCUCAUGCACGAAAAGCUGGGGAUCGAGCGAGAUAUGAUACCCUGUAGUCCACACCGAAAAACGAUGACACUCGUUGCCGGGGGGCGACCUUCGGUGGCCAAGCGGAAACGAUAGAGUGAUCCACCUGGGGAGUCGAUCGCAAGGUUAAACUCAAAAGGAAAUGACGGGGGCCCGCACAAGCGGAGGAGCAUGUGGUUUAAUUGGAUGAUACGCGAGGAACCUUACCCGGGCUCGAACGUAAGACCAAGACACAGGAGAAUGUGUCGCCUUCGGGGGUUUUGCGAGGUGUGCAUGGUUGUCGUCAGCUCGUGCCGUGAGGUGUUAGGUUAAGUCCUGCAACGAGCGCAACCCUUACCUUCAGUUGCCAGCACGUAACGGUGGGGACUUUGGAGGAACUGCCUACGCAAGUAGAGAGGAAGGUGGGGAUGACGUCAAAUCAGCACGGCCAAUAUGUCCGGGGCUACACACGUGCUACAAUGGCGCACACAGAGGGCAGCGACCCCGCGAGGGGGAGCCAAUCCAUUAAAGUGCGUCUCAGUUCGGAUUGGGGUCUGGAACCCGACUCCGUGAAGUUGGAUUCGCUAGUAAUCGCGCAUCAGCCAGACGCGGUGAAUCCGUUCCCGGUCAAGG